This 419-nucleotide ribosomal RNA is filed under the name Artemia sorgeloosi. RNAcentral describes it as "partial small subunit ribosomal RNA". It matches the Rfam family "Bacterial small subunit ribosomal RNA", at positions 705 to 1388 of the family's 1533-position model. The record is from RNAcentral. Lineage: Eukaryota; Metazoa; Arthropoda; Branchiopoda; Anostraca; Artemiidae.
UUUAACAGGGGUGAAAUCUGUAUUUAUCAUGAAUCUUUUGGUUAAAGCACCUUUUAGGUGGUCAAAUGACUAGGAUUAGAUACCCUAUUAGUCCACUCUUAAUUAACCUGGGUAGUAGCAUUGAAACCUAAAGAAUUUGGCGGUUUCUAAACCUACUAGAGGAACCUGCUCCAUAAACGACAAUCCACGAAAAAAUUUACCCGGGCUAGUCACGCAGCUUAUAUACCGUCGUUCAGGGGACUAAAUAAAUAAAUCCCCUUAAAAGCUUAGGCUAGCAAAUCAGAUCAAGGUGUAGCUCAUGCCCGGGAGAGGGUGGGUUACAAUGAAAACUCAUACGGAAUCUCUAUUUUAUGAUAGUAAAGAAGGUGGAUUUAGAAGUAAGACCUAAUAUACUGAAAAAGGCUCUUAGAAAUGUACAC